RNAcentral lists this long non-coding RNA (5694 nucleotides) under Nicotiana tabacum (common tobacco). Its description in RNAcentral is "long non-coding RNA (NTAB_LNC003560)". The record is from RNAcentral. Lineage: Eukaryota; Viridiplantae; Streptophyta; Magnoliopsida; Solanales; Solanaceae.
CCAAUUCCCAAAAGCAGCCGUUUCCCUCUCCCCAAAAAGAUCUAAUUGGAAAAGGAUGUAAUUCCAUUCCACAAAAUCUCCCUCGCCUCCCUUCAUAACUCUGUUGUUCCCCUCUCAGCUCCCACAUUAUUACUUUAUGAUAUAAAACAAAAGGAACAAACAAAUCUCUACAAAAAACCAAUCAUUAGAACAAACAAACAUAAUCCCCAAAAAAAAAGGUAAAAAAACAGACUCCUCCUAUUUUAUGCGAACACAGCGCCCAACCCCUUUCUUUCUUAGAUUUCCAGCCGGAAAAUCCAAAGAAACGGCGACACUUGCUUUCAACAAAACUGCCACUACAGUGAAGUUGCACUAAAGUUCCGUCCGUCGAGUUCGCUGCCAUCGUUGGAGUCUCGGUCAUGGUUCAGUGAUUCAACGGUCAUCGACUUUUUGUCGGAGUUUGUCUCUGUUGCUAUAUAAUUUGCUUUGGAGAUAAUUUUAUCAAAAGGUUCGCCUCUCAAACUUGUUCUUAACUUCAUACAUUAGUGUUAAUUUUAAUAAAUGUUAAAUCAAGUUUGUGCUUAUUUUGUGAUAGAAUGCCUUUUCUUUAGUUUACUAUGUUGUUUGCUAUGAUGUCUACUAGAUUUGAUGUGUUAAGCAUAUUAAAAUGGUGUCAGUUUGCUUUUUUUUUUUUAUAUAGUUUUAUUAAUAUUGGCUAUGACUCUUUUAUUUGUAGUUUAAAUGCAAAUGAAUAUAAAUAUUGGGAAUGAAGGCAAAGUUAUAGAGUACAGUUUUCGAGGCCAAGAGGAGUUCGAUGUUUAGUCUUUUAGGAAUUAUAUAGCAAUUAGGCAGUUGCCUAUUUACCCAUUGUUACGUGUAUUUAGUGAAAGGAAUAUUUCAAAUCAAUAAUAGUUUCCAUUCAGGUGUAAAAAAAAAAUGGGGCAAAGCUAUCAUGUAAGAUCUUUGAAGCCUACAGUUUUAUAUUAGGCUACUAAUGUGUACAAUAACAUCUAAUGUAAGGCAAAAAAUGAAAUAAUUUUAGUAAUAUAAACAAAGUGCGUCAUCUCAUUAAGAUGCGACGUACACUAUUGGAAUUAAUUAGCUUUAGGAAAAUAGCUAAUGAACAUUCGUAGAAAAUGCUUUAGGCGCGACUUAAUAAAUCAUCGUAAUUGUGUACGUGUUCGCAUGACAUAAUUAAGAUUUUUAAAAUAAAUCGAGCUAGGUAUGCGUUCUCGCAACUUUGACCAAACUUUCUUAAUAUUAAUAAAGCUUGAUUAAUUGUGGACACGUAUGCGUGACAUGAUUCUUGGCGCGCCAGACGAAAUGAGUACACAUACGAGUGACUCAUUUUAAGAUGAUUCCGUAACUAUGAAUAACCAAACAAUGAAUACACGUACGUGUGAUUCAUUUCAAAUUAAAAAACGGUAAAAGGUAAAAGUUUACAUAGGUUAUAAAAUAUGUAAUUAAAAAAAUUUAUUAAGCCAGGUAUAACUAUUAAAGCGACCGUGCUAGAACCACGAAACUCGGGAAUGCAUAACACCUUCUCCCCGAUUAACAAAAUUCCUUACCCGAUUUUCUGUGUUUCGCAGACUGUAAAAUAGAGUCAACUUCCUCGAUUCAGGAUUUUAAACCGGUGACUUGGGACACCAUAAAUUAUCCCAAGUGGUGACUCUGAAUUUGAAUAAAUAAUCUCGUUUCGGUUAUUGUGACUUUAAUUGAAAAACUCCCUUAUACCCCCUUUCCUGGGUAGAAAAAGGAGGUGUGACAGCUUUGGCGACUCCGCUGGGGAUAAGAACCCUGAAUCUCUGGUUCAGGGUUCAGAAUUUGAGCUUGUUAAUAUGAUAUAUGCUUGGCUUUAUUGUUUAUUGAUAUUACUGUAUUUGUGGACCUAAUGUGCUAAUUGUCGCUUAUUUACCGCUUUAAUAUUAUUUGAACUCUAUUAAAACUGUCUCCUUACGCCUACCUUCUGAGUCUUCUAAAAAUAUAGACACACGUUCGCGUGGCCCACUUUUUUGUUAGAAGUCAUACCAAAUAGAAUGAGGCUUGGGUCAACAACUAGGUCGGGUAGACUUUCGUGCUCCCGGUACGCUGCCCCCAUCUCGGCUUGAGUUGUCCGCUUGGGUAAGUCAGGUUUAGAACACAACCCCAGGUUUAAACUUAGAAAAACAUAACCUCAUGCCGGAUCCCUAGUAGGAACGUUUGUUUGCAUCGCGUGCAUUUGACUUUGGGGACUCAACACAUAGGUUGGGUCCGUCUAGAACAGAUGUACACAAAAUGAAAGACCAUGCUGAUGCACCUUACGUGCUAUUUGUACAUUUAUUUGCUUCGGUUUGUAUGUUGAUCGGCUAAGGAAAGAAAAAUAACAGAAAAACCAAGAGUGAGGUAGGAUAGAGAAUUCACCCGAUUCUGAAAAUUUCGAUUUUUUGAAAAUGUCUCGAAACUCUGUCAAAAUUUUUUUAAAAAAAGGGAAAAGAAAAUGUAUUUCAAAAAAAAUGAAAGUGAGUCAAUAUUAUGUUUUUUCAAUUAUGUCAAAACUGACCGAAUUACGCGAGUCUGAUUCUCACCGAAUGUGAGAUACGUAGGCAAACCUUAUCGGUUCGGACUCCAAUUUUCAAAAAAUCCAAAAAUAUUUUCCAUUACUUCCUUCUUUAGAAAGUCUUUCUUUUAGACCCCAAUUUUUAAAAAAUACAAAAUAUUUUCUUUAAUUUCUUCUCAAAAUCCAAAAAUAUUUUCAUUCUUCUUUCAAAAAUUGAAAAGUAAAUUCAAGAUGCAAAAACAUUUUCUUUUUUCUUUAGAAGUAUUUCUUUCAUAAAUUCAAAAUAAAAGUACAAAAAUUCAAAAAAAUCUUUCGUCUUUAGAAGUCUUUCUUUUCAAAAAUUCUUUUUAAAACAAAAAUCAAAAUUCAAAAAUAUUUUCUUUCUUCUUUAUAAAUCUUUCUUCGGAAAUUAAAAAAAAUCAAAAUCCAAAAAAAAGUUAGUUUAUUUACUUUAUUCAUGAUCUUCCCGAACUGUGCAAGAUCUGAUUCAUGUUCCCACAUGAUACGUAGGCAACCCACAUCGAGUUCGAUUGAAUGGUUAAAAACCAAAAAGAAAGAAAAACCAAAAAAAAAGGAGAAAGGAGAGAAAACAAAAAAAAAGAAAAGAGAAAAAAAAGGAAAAAAAAGAAAGAGUGUUUAUUCUAACAUGGUUGUUGUUUUGAAAUAAAAGCUAGUCAAAGGUGGUCGGUUUGUUGGUUUGCAAUGGCGAGUCACAAAAGCCAUCCAAGAUCUCUCGAAAAUAAAAGCAUCUUCUCAACCGAUGGAGCAAACACCAUUGUUGUUGAUCCAAGGUCACGAAAAGGCAAGUAGGUAAGUUGGCGGUGAAAAAUAAAAAAAUGGAGGCAAAUGUAGGGUUGACUUUACCCGAUUUGACCAAUAGGACAUGGGCUGCUCGGGAUGAUUGUCAAAAUUUGAGUGUUGAAUCCAAAACAAUUAAAAUGGUCAAAUGCCGUAGUAAUGCUGAUGUGCGAAUGUAUGGCUAAGAUGUCGCUUAGUAACUCGAAAGUCACUCCUCCUUUAGCCAUGGUAGCUUAUUUUGUCGUCUUUUCUUCUUCUUUUUGUGUUAUCAGACCCUACUAUCCUUUAUUUAAUAAAAAGCAGUCAGUCAUUUUGUGCAUAGUUUGUUUCACGCUAGUUUUAGUGACAUGACAUGCAUGCGGAAUUUUUGGCCAGAUCUUAGAAAAUUGAUUUAAGCUUGAAUUGGACAACUGAGGAAAAGACACUUUUGAGGAUGAAAAAGAGUUGAAAUACCUUGGAAUUAAGCCCAAGUAAAAUUCAAGUGGAACUAAAAUAGUCAGACCCAUGGAGGUUAAGAAAAUUCACCUUCAAAUCAUUGUGAAGAUCGGGCUUGAGGAUGUCUAAUCAAUUGAAGUUUGUUGGAAAGCUUGACACUAAGGGAUGGAAAGUUUCUUGUGACCACGACACACUAAGAAGACAGACAUGUUCGUUAAUGCUAUGAUCGCGAAAGGAUACUAUAAUUAGCGUUCUCGAGGUUGGGAGGCCUUUUUUCUGCUACCCAAACACUUUAUACCCUUUGUUACCCCUUUUGAGCCUGUGUAAUUUUCUUUGACCACCCUCUUUUGGAAUCAGGUUUAGAGUCAAAAGUCCAAAAAAAAAAAGAAAAAAAAAUAAUAACACUAAAGGUACAUGCCCCAAUAGUACAAACUGGGGCAGCUUUUAGAAAGUUCAAAUGAAAAAAGAAGAAGAAAAGAACAGUCAAAAACCCAUGCCCCUAGAAAAUAAGAGCUGGGGAAACUUGUUUUGAAAAACAAAGGAAAAAAAAAGAAAAAAGAAGGAAGAAAAAAAAGAAACAUAAAGAAAGAUGAAAAAUAGUUAGGUCAGAUGUUUGAACUAUGUUUGACCUGAUUCCUUAAAAAAAAGGAUAUGUAGGCAGCCUCACGGUUCGGUCUAACCCAAAUAUAAUUCAAAAAAAGAGGAAAAAGAAAAAGAGAAAAAAAUAAAAAAAACUCCCUAGUAUCUAAAACUGGGCAUGAGUUUGUUAUAAUUUUUAAACGAGGCGAUUCCAAGAGUUGUGAGUAUACAACCCCAUCAUCUUUAGUCUGUUUUGAGCCUUCAUGUCAUCCAUUCUUUCCAACCCUAUCCAAAAACCUUCUAAAUAAAGACCUCUUGAUCAGCCUUCAAGAAUGCCAAGAGACGCAUGCAAUGAGCAACAGUUGUCACGCGACAUAGAACACUGUCAAGUUGCUCACAAAAAACAAAAGAGAAAAAUGAGAGAGUCUUACUAGUGAAAACCCUCAUGGGCACUGUAAGGCGACAAUAAGCAGAGAUUGGCAAAUGAGAGAGAUUUAUUAGUGGAAACCUCUCGGGGCACCACUAGUCGAAAGUGAGUUGUGAAGCUGAUGCAAAGAAUUGACACGAACAAGCCCGACUUUAAAGGUCAUAAGAAUGAUAAAAAGGAAGAUUGGAUUAGUUUGAUAGAUUAGGCCGUUGAGUCCAAAAUGCAUGUCAUGACUAUUAAGGCUAGUUAUUGAAAAAAAAACUCUUCCUUCUGUUCUUCUGACAGGAACAUUUCUUGUUAAUACCUGUUUCUUUGCAUCAUUGUGUUAUUCACUCUCAGUCAGUCCUUGUCAAAACAAGCAAGAAAAGAUUUCAAAAUCUGCUACCAGCAUUUCAGUUGCAUAAAGUAAAUUUGGCCAGCACACUCAGUUAUUACUGUCAAUAUACCUUGAGGAUUCAUGCAAAGGCUUCCCCAAAAGACUCUUGUCAGUCUAUUGGGUGCCAGCAAAGAUAACCGGUGAUUCUCUCUGACAGACAAAUUGUUCAAAAAGCAGAAAGUCAUUCAAGAUAUCAGAAAAGGUCACCUAAGAGAAGAUCUCUAGUUGGGAUAAGGCUGAUUGAGCCACAAGUACAAAUGGUACUGAGUGUGAAACAAUUAGGGUUCAUACAGAGCAAAAGUCUCUUGAAAUCAACUCAAGUUGAUCGAGCAAAGGCCAAGCUGCUCAAGAUCAAGGCCACAAACUAACCACCACUUUCAAAACUAACAAAAUUUUCUUUGUUUGAUAUAGGAACAAAGCAAAGCAAAGCAAGGAAAGUGUUUCAAAUAAAAAGAAAAAAAAAGAAAGAAGAAAUGAAACGAAGAGAAGAGGCGACAAAGGGAAGUUUCUCAAAUCUUUGCCAUUAUUUGUCUUGCUAAUGUGCAUAAAAUAUUGCCAUUGCAC